RNAcentral lists this ribosomal RNA (775 nucleotides) under uncultured Neocallimastigales. Its description in RNAcentral is "partial large subunit ribosomal RNA". It matches the Rfam family "Eukaryotic large subunit ribosomal RNA", at positions 23 to 616 of the family's 3401-position model. Lineage: Eukaryota; Fungi; Neocallimastigomycota; Neocallimastigomycetes; Neocallimastigales. The record is from RNAcentral.
AGAGAGAGACAUGCGCGCAUAUCAAUAAGCGGAGGAAAAGAAACUAACAAGGAUUCCCCUAGUAACGGCGAGUGAAGCGGGAAGAGCUCAAAUUUGAAAUCUUAAAGGGUUUCCCUUUACGAAUUGUAGUUUAAAGAAGUGUUUUCUGUUGAGGUUUUGGUAAAAGUUCUUUGGAAUAGGACAUCAUAGAGGGUGAGAAUCCCGUAUUUGACCUUUACUUUCAACUUUGUGAUACACUUUCAAAGAGUCGGAUUGUUUGGGAAUGCAGUCCAAAAUGGGUGGUAAAUUUCAUCUAAAGCUAAAUAUUGGCGAGAGACCGAUAGCGAACAAGUACCGUGAGGGAAAGAUGAAAAGAACUUUGAAAAGAGAGUUAAACGGUACGUGAAAUUGUCAAAAGGGAAGCGUUUGACACCAGUGUUGUUUUUCUGAAAAUCAAUUAAAGAACUGUUUAUGCUAAGUUGUUUAGACUUUAUCAGCUAACUGUUUAGUUUUGAGCUUUUCUUUAAUGCACUUUUCAGUUAACAAGUCAACAUCAAUUUCUUUUCGCUGUAAAAAAGCUUGAGGAAGGUGGCUUGAGAUUCGUCUUAAGUGUUUAUAGCCUCUUGCCUAUGCAGUCGGAGAGAUUGAGGUCUGCAGCGUAGAUCCUUCGGGGCUAAAUGCAUUUGCGCUAAGUUAUAGCAUUUUAUAGACAACUUGUUGACUAUGAUUUGUCUUGUAGCUUACUCGCUUAUGUUAUUUUACCUACGCUUAGGAUGUUGAGCGCAUGUCUCUCUCU